GGAAGGAUCAUUAACACUAAUCCAAUCUAACUCAACCUAGCCUUUAGUUGCAGCAGCAGCGCUUGCUUUUGCAUUUGCCGCUGGUGCAGCACACACAAAUCUAAUUUAAAGGAGUCUAACUAAGACCAACCAAAAUCCAAAUUCUCAACGAUGGAUAUCUUGGUUCCCAUAACGAUGAAGAACGCAGCGAAGUGCGAUAAGCAAUGCGAAUUGCAGAACCGUGAGUCAUCAGAUUUUUGAACGCAACUGGCGCCGAUUGGCUCUCCAGUCGGCAUGCUUGUUUCAGUGUCUCUUUUUCUCAUCCCCCAAAUCAUAAUGCGAGAGAUACCCUUCUCUUGUUAAGUAUGAAAGCACUCUACGCUCUGCGAGCGGCAUCGACUUGUCGAGGGCCGCACUCAAUGCAGCAGUCACAUUGUUUACAGUGUGAACUCAUUGAGAGCUGAGGUAGCGCAGCGUAAGCUGUAAGUGCUUAGUCACACAAACUUAUCUGUAUCUGAAAUCAAGCAGGAUCACCCGCUGAACUUAAGCAUAUCAAUAAGCGGAGGAGAAGAAAUUAACUAAGAUUGCCUCAGUAACGGCGAGUGAAGCGGCAAAAGCUCAAACUGGAAAUCUUGUACACUACGUGUGCACGAAUUGUAAUCUAAAGGGUUUUUACUCACCGGGCGGAGACGCAGAAGUGCCAUCGAAAGGGCCACCAGAGAGGGUGAUAGUCCCGUAUGUGGUGUCUCUGCCUAACGAGUAUUGAUCCAAAGAGUCGGGUUGUCUUGUACUACAGCCCUAAGUUGGAGAUAGACUUCUUCUAAGGCUAAAUAUAUAUGGGAAACCGAUAGCGAACAAGUACUGUGAAGGAAAGAUGAAAAGAACUUUGAAAAGAGAGUCAAAAGACUUGAAAUCGUUGAGAAGGAAGCGGUAGAAAUUUAUUCUUCGGCGGAGGUCGGUGUUACUUGCCAAGCCAUUGCCGAAGUACAGUACUGAAUAAGGCUGUGCCCGGCACCUGGGGAAGUGAGUGGCUUGACCUUCGUCGUGAGGCAAAAUGAGGUCGAGUUGCCGCAGAGGCUUGCUUCAACCGGGGAGUUUACUCUCAGUGGGGCUUUGCCGGCGGUGAUUCGGCCUGAGGAUGCUUUGUGCGAUUUUGCCAAAAUGGUUUUUACCGACCCGUCUUGAAACACGGACCAAGGAGUCUAACAUAUAUGCGAGUGUGCUGGUGCAAAAACCAACACGCGUAAUGAAGGUGAUUGAUGCCAAAUCGCAAGAUGGCAGCAUCGACCGACCAUGAUCCUCCGGUGAAAGGUUUGAGUAAGAGCAUAUCUGUUAGGACCCGAAAGAUGGUGAACUAUGCCUGAGUAGGGUGAAGCCAGGGGAAACUCUGGUGGAGGCUCGUAGCGGUACUGACGUGCAAAUCGUUCGUCAAACUUGGGUAUAGGGGCGAAAGACUAAUCGAACCAUCUAGUAGCUGGUUCCCUC
This 1464-nucleotide unclassified non-coding RNA is filed under the name uncultured fungus. Its description in RNAcentral is "sequence contains 18S rRNA gene, ITS1, 5.8S rRNA gene, ITS2, 28S rRNA gene". The stretch from base 490 to 1464 matches the Rfam family "Eukaryotic large subunit ribosomal RNA", at positions 1 to 961 of the family's 3401-position model. Lineage: Eukaryota; Fungi. The record is from RNAcentral.